UAAUAAUGAAGUGAUCUGGUCUUCCCACGGGUAUAUAAAUGAAAAGAAACAAGACUAAUGCAAUCAAUUAUCAUUUCCUUAUUUGAAAGAUUCACUAACUAAAAUCGCAGGUAAGUAACUAAUCCAUAAAAAUAAAUACAUAAAGCCAGCUUCGAAACUUCAACCACAUAAUAUAAACACACAUGCUACUGAUUUGAUUCUGAUAGAUGAAACAGCAAAUCCUCAACCAGAUAAUAUAAACAACCAUGCUACCGGUUCAAUAGUGAUAGACAAAACAGCAAAUCCUCUAUA
This 291-nucleotide unclassified non-coding RNA is filed under the name Hevea brasiliensis (rubber tree). The record is from RNAcentral. Lineage: Eukaryota; Viridiplantae; Streptophyta; Magnoliopsida; Malpighiales; Euphorbiaceae.